RNAcentral lists this small RNA (28 nucleotides) under Bombyx mori (domestic silkworm). RNAcentral's name for it is "ovarian small RNA-29371". The record is from RNAcentral. Lineage: Eukaryota; Metazoa; Arthropoda; Insecta; Lepidoptera; Bombycidae.
UCGUUUCCUAUUUUUGCAACGAGGACAC